Molecule: ribosomal RNA, 253 nt
Filed under: uncultured bacterium
Lineage: Bacteria
Description: partial 16S ribosomal RNA
Rfam family: Bacterial small subunit ribosomal RNA
Source: RNAcentral
UACGAAGGGGGCUAGCGUUGCUCGGAAUUACUGGGCGUAAAGGGAGCGUAGGCGGAUAGUUUAGUCAGAGGUGAAAGCCCAGGGCUCAACCCUGGAAUUGCCUUUGAUACUGGCUAUCUUGAGUGUGGGAGAGGUUAGCGGAACUCCGAGUGUAGAGGUGAAAUUCGUAGAUAUUCGGAAGAACGCCAGUGGCGAAGGCGGCUAACUGGCCCAUUACUGACGCUGAGGCUCGAAAGCGUGGGGAGCAAACAGG